CCGGCCCUGCUGUCCCACGCACAUUCGUAAGCACUCCCUCCACGCGUUCCACGAGCCACGCACGACGCACCAAGCGCCAUCGUGGACGACUCGAGCGACCGGCCACCACGUUCAAUCUGCAGCCCAACCCGCCACCAAACGCACGCCGCCGUCCCGAUCUCCUCCGUCGCCUCUCUUCCCCGACGCCACGAGCUCGACUCGCUAAUGCCAUGGCGCCCGCUGCCUACCUUCGCUCGCCCGCGCGUCGCGGAAGAAGACCAUGCAUGGCAGGCUCCAUGAACCGAGUCGGCCUGCCGCCGGGACCAACGCCCGCGAAGGGAGCCAGCAUGUUUGUUACGGAGCACGAUGGCGCCGCGCCGGGGAACGACGGAGCUCGGAUUGGAGAUCCGGGUGGUAGAAGUCGGAGAGGACAAGCCAUGGCCGCCAGUGACAACAAGGAGCUUUCCGCGUCUGCGAAGGGGCGCGAUCGGGGAAGCCCACCGCCCAGAUCACUAGGCCAUGCCGUCGCCGCCGGCUAUCUCCACAACGAAACCACCCCGCCUCGAUUCCCAGCUUGCAGGCAUAUGCGGAUGUGCCCAGCCACGGGCAGAACAAUCACGCGACAGCACAAUGUUACUUCCCAUGUAGCCGGGCCAUCCACACCGCGUCAUCUUCCUUGGCGCUGAUUAUACUGGCUUCUCGGUUUCUUUUGUACGUGUCCGUCAUAACCGUGUGCAGUUUUGCAUGUGGCUCAUGUACGUGCGUGCGCGUGCUAAGUUGCUAAUAUGCUCGGCGGCAUUCCGCAGAGACCGUAGGACAUCCACACGGCGGCCGUCAUCUCGCCAGAGCAGCGGCGGCUGCUCUCCUUGCCGUUCAUCUAUGAUGGCGAUGCUGUCUCUACCUUCUCCAGUCAUGCAGUACGAGGAAGCAUCCAGGUACCGUGGUCAACAAAGGAGUCUCCUGCAAAAAAGAAAAAAAAAGAUUACACACAAAAAAAAUCAAGGAAAAAAGUGUGUCCACACAAAUUUCACUUCGAAACCGUGGAUAGGAUAAAGGCCACAGUGCAGAAGUCGCACCAUGAUCGAUAUGCUCAGUUCCAGGCUUAAAUUUAGCUUUUAUGUAGCAUGGUAAAUUAUGGUCACUAUAUAUAUGUCUAUAUCCUCAAAAUUGUGAUAUUUCUUCUGGUUUUCAAAAUUGCAUGGACUAGGAUUAUAUUCUGGUACUGUUGGAAGUGGAAAGAUAUAAACCAAGUAUAAGAAAUCUGAAGUAAAGAGAGAUCCAAUGAAUUAAAAGAUAUUGGAGUUAAUGGCGGUUAUUGUGUAUUGGUACAUAAUGAUCUAUUCAGACAAUCUUCGGCCCAGUAACCGAAUCCUUGGUACCACAGCUCUCCACGCAAAUGGAUACGUCAGGUAAUUCUUUCCAAUAACAUUCUUCUAUUAAAGGGAGGGAUGCCUUUUCUCAACAGUGAUUGAAACAGUCCCUGAAGUUAAAGGAAAUUGCUCACCAUACCAUCGAUAAGUAGGAAAAAAACAUCGAUCCUCCCAUACGCCACUUGGCAUGCCGCUGCCCGAGGUAGCUUAUUGUUUUUAUACUUACGAAAUGUUUUUUGAGUCAUAAAUAAUUUUGUAUCCGUUGCAACGCACGGGCACUUUUGCUAGAUUGACUCCGUGGGUUCACCGUCACAAUACGCUUCUUCCCGUGAAUUUACGUUUUCAGUUUUUUUUUCAACAUGUGCAUAUUUUUCCAAAAUCCAAGGUGGUACUAAUCCGGUCUGUGCGUCAAAAACAUUGGUUUAAUUCGGUUUUCUCUUUCGUGUCUGACUCAUACACGUACCUCCCAUCUAGACAGUUCGGUUUUCAAACUGGUAAUACCCUAACCCCUACGAUAAAUAUCAGAUAAGAGGGAGGCGGUCGAUACCGUAGAGGUGGAGAAGCAAAACACGAAACGGCCGGCCGAUCCCACAUGGACGACGGAGCGGCUGGAGGAGAAGCAACACGUGAAAGCGGCCUGUCGAGGAGGCGUGCGGAGGGCGAUCCCAUGGGUAGAGCGGAGCGGCCGGUCAAGGAGGCACGCUGAGGCCGAUCCCACGUGGACGACGGAGCAACCGGUGGAGCAGGUGCAUGGAGGCCGAUCCCAUGGGGACAGGGCCGGCCCUGAGGGGGGGCAGGGGGGCGGCCGCCCCGGGCCCCCACUGUGGAGGGGCCCCCAAUUAUGUAUUGCAUUAGGCCUAUAAUUUCAUGGGUGCAGUAAAAAAAGAUCAUUAGGGCUGGGCCAUAGCCCAAGUAGUAGCAGCUCUCGUGAUGCAGCGUGACUUACAUCGCCGUCACUCACGCAUCUACUCGCGGGAUCCACCCAGAAACCCACGCAUGCAUCGCCAUCAUGUACGCAGCAGCCGCCGCCUUUGCUCCUCCUCCUCACGCCCAGAUUAUGACAGAUGAACCAAAGCUUGCUCAAGGAGGAAGCCCAGAUCUCAAGGGACGGAGCGACGGGUGCGCGCCGGAGAUCAGCAGCGGACCAGAGCUGUUGUGUGUCGUCUGUAGAGAUCUCAUCAUCAAAUAGAUCAAGGGAAGAACCAGGUUCUGGAUGCUGCUCAUGGCGGUUGGUUAUAUAUGAGCUGAGCAAUGACGGCACAAUCUGUUAAGGGCCCCCGGAUUUUAGUUUCGCCCCGGGCCCCCAAAAUCUCAGGACCGGCCCUGCAUGGGGACGAGGGGAAACUCCUGACGGAGCAGCCGGUGGAGCAGGUGCAUGGAGGACGAUCCCAUGGGGACGAGGAGAAAACUCCUGGAGGCACGCGGACGCAGGGAAAGGAAGGCGAACCCAUCCAAGAGGUACGUACCAGUCUGAAGAGAUUGGACGCGCGGCUGUGCUGCGGUUGGAGUUACGGACUUCUGGGCACUCAACAAGGAUGGACAGGCGCUGUACAUGGUGGCGCUGUGUUGUUCGCCGACGUUGCUUCCCCAAUCCAGCUGUCCUACACUCCUCCGCUCGCGGGCAUGUGGAACGGGGUGCGCAACACAGGUCGGGGCGCUUAAUCCGAACACAAGGCCGAGAUAGCUUCAUCCAGACCAUGAGUUCAAGGUAACGCUUGUGUACAAAGCUAGCUACGUGAGCUAGCUACCUAAGCUUUUGUAUCGGCUUCCUUGCGGACAGAUUGACGAGGAACAGGCACUCGUGAGGACCAGAGCUAGCGUCGGCUCCGCUGCACACGGCGGAUGACGCAGACCACACAGGUUGUCGCCUGAACUGUCUUUGUCUCCUGAUGAUGAACAUUUUACUUAUCCUUCCUCUGCAUAAUUGAACAAAGGGUUAUGAUCAUUGUAUAGACUUCUCAAAGCAUUGAUUAUAUUUCCGACCUGCACAUUAGUUGAAACACAAUUACACUACGUAUAUUUAGUGAAUUUGCAUACUAUUAUUGUUUGAGUAGAAGAAUAUUUCCCAACUUUAAAUUGUCUAUCAGAAUAUAAUGAUGUUGAUUCCUUUGAUAUGUGUACGGGCAAAAGUGAUUAUAUUUUUCAUGACUCCUUUGUGCUAUUUUC
Molecule: RNA transcript, 3515 nt
Organism: Triticum aestivum (bread wheat)
Lineage: Eukaryota; Viridiplantae; Streptophyta; Magnoliopsida; Poales; Poaceae
Exons: 5
Source: RefSeq, a predicted model, not a curated record